CACAUGCUUUAUUUUGCACUGUAAACUAACCUUUUUAUUGCAACAGGUUCCUUUUAAAUGAUCCAGUGUAAUAACUACUGCUUGUGUCUUCUAUGUCUCACAUUAUGUGUUCUUUUAAAUUGUGGUAUAUAGCCUGAAUCAGACAUCAUGGACAAAAGGUUUUUACCUGUAUUACAAAGGGCUCUUGGAGACUGACCGGUCUAAAGGUUUGCCAUGCCUUUAAAACAUGGUAUAGUAUAAAUUUUUUAAGUCUCUGAGAGUUCUGAAAGAUUCAGGUGAAACCAUGUCUGUUUAAUCUGGUCCAGAUGUUCGUUCAAUUUCUAUAGGAUUUAAGUUGAUGCAGCAUCAUCUCAGAUUAGUUAAUGGUAGUUUUAUACAAAUAGUUGAGUUAUGAGCGCGCUAUAUAAAUGGAUCCUUUCUUUAAAUACAAUACUAUAGUAGAUUAAAGUAAUGAAGUUAAUUAAGAAAAUGUAUACAUAAGAAUCCCUAAAAUAAAUCUAAACUAAAAUUGGUAUACCUUCCAAUAAUAUGUUCUGAAUACAGCUGUUAACUGUUUAUUUUGUGUAAAUGGUGAUUGUGAUAAUGUGUGAAGUGUGCAGUUUAACUUGAAAGUGGUUUAAUUUAUAUGUUGCUGUAUUGUUUUAAAUUAUAUGUGAAUCAGUUUGUCACAGUCUAGUGAUACUGAUAAGAAUGACAGCCAAAUAACCUAGCAAAUAACUGUUUUAUUAGUUGUUGAAUACUAGCGUUUUGGCCAAGAAUAGUUGGAGAUUUGGAGGUGUUAGUUUAAGAUUGCUUUUAUAUUGUGUGUAUCCGUGUUUCCUAGGAGGGAGACAGAGUGUGUAGUUGUGUGCCCAUAAAUGUGAUUUCUGUAUUGGCAUAUCUGCUGGGUACCCAUUAUGUGUUUCUACAAAGAUAUUGCUUUGUGAGAUGACGUGUAAUAUUACAUGGGAUGCUGAGUAUGAGUUAUAUGGUUUGAAAUGAAUUGGUGAUUAUGAGCUUAGUACUUCAGUAAGAUGUGCUAAAAUUUGGAACAAGGUGGAAGCUGAAAUGUUGGGAUUAUGGAAGAAUAAGCAGUCUAUAUUCACUGCUUUGGCAUAUAAGCAAGAUGCAAAGGAAGAGAUUGGUAAUAUGAUUUUUGUAAAGAAAUUUUACAAGUGUUGGAAG
Non-coding RNA from Pelobates cultripes (western spadefoot toad), 1164 nucleotides. The record is from the annotation of a GenBank genome assembly. Lineage: Eukaryota; Metazoa; Chordata; Amphibia; Anura; Pelobatidae.